RNAcentral lists this ribosomal RNA (253 nucleotides) under uncultured bacterium. RNAcentral describes it as "partial 16S ribosomal RNA". It matches the Rfam family "Bacterial small subunit ribosomal RNA", at positions 524 to 776 of the family's 1533-position model. The record is from RNAcentral.
UACAGAGGGUGCGAGCGUUAAUCGGAAUUACUGGGCGUAAAGCGUGCGUAGACGGUUAUUUAAGUCGGGUGUGAAAGCCCCGGGCUCAACCUGGGAAUUGCAUUCGAGACUGAAUAGCUAGGGUACGGUAGAGGGAAGCGGAAUUUCCGGUGUAGCGGUGAAAUGCGUAGAUACCGGAGGGAACAUCAGUGGCGAAAGCGGCUUCCUGGACCAGUACCGACGUUCAGGCACGAAAGCGUGGGGAGCAAACAGG